Molecule: ribosomal RNA, 253 nt
Filed under: uncultured bacterium
Lineage: Bacteria
Description: partial 16S ribosomal RNA
Rfam family: Bacterial small subunit ribosomal RNA
Source: RNAcentral
CACGUAGGGCGCGAGCGUUGUCCGGAAUUAUUGGGCGUAAAGAGCUCGUAGGCGGCCUGUUGCGUCCGCUGUGAAAGCCCGGGGCUUAACCCCGGGCUUGCAGUGGAUACGGGCAGGCUAGAGGCAGGCAGGGGAGAACGGAAUUCCCGGUGUAGCGGUGAAAUGCGCAGAUAUCGGGAGGAACACCGGUGGCGAAGGCGGUUCUCUGGGCCUGUACUGACGCUGAGGAGCGAAAGCGUGGGGAGCGAACAGG